Molecule: non-coding RNA, 313 nt
Organism: Drosophila melanogaster (fruit fly)
Lineage: Eukaryota; Metazoa; Arthropoda; Insecta; Diptera; Drosophilidae
Source: Ensembl
AGCCUGUUUGCUUAGCCCUCCAAGAGCAGGCAGCUGGAAUCGCUCGGAAGAUAAACACUGAGGCCGGAGCUACCGAGUUCUAAGCGGCGCAGCAUCUUUCAAUGGCAGCGACUGCAAUCAGCAGGCAGUGCGUCGUCCUCUUUGUCAGGGAUAAACAGAGUCCUUGCGGAGGAGGAUAGCAUCGCAUGGGGAUCUCUCUAGAAACUGUCCAAACCAAAAGCACAUCGAGCAAAUCAGAGUGGUGGCUGCUAAAACGCUUGAAAAUGGAAUGUGCGAAUAUAAAAAGCAUUUACUACUGCCUUUUUUGAAUAAC